This 353-nucleotide ribosomal RNA is filed under the name uncultured Streptococcus sp. Its description in RNAcentral is "bacterial SSU rRNA". It matches the Rfam family "Bacterial small subunit ribosomal RNA", at positions 1026 to 1382 of the family's 1533-position model. Lineage: Bacteria; Bacillati; Bacillota; Bacilli; Lactobacillales; Streptococcaceae. The record is from RNAcentral.
CAUCGGUGACAGGUGGUGCAUGGUUGUCGUCAGCUCGUGUCGUGAGAUGUUGGUUAAGUCCGCAACGAGCGCAACCCCUAUUGUUAGUUGCCAUCAUUCAGUUGGGCACUCUAGCGAGACUGCCGGUAAUAAACCGGAGGAAGGUGGGGAUGACGUCAAAUCAUCAUGCCCCUUAUGACCUGGGCUACACACGUGCUACAAUGGUUGGUACAACGAGUUGCGAGUCGGUGACGGCGAGCUAAUCUCUUAAAGCCAAUCUCAGUUCGGAUUGUAGGCUGCAACUCGCCUACAUGAAGUCGGAAUCGCUAGUAAUCGCGGAUCAGCACGCCGCGGUGAAUACGUUCCCGGGCCUU